AUGGAGACCGUUCCCCCAGACGUCACAGUUUUCUUAUCUUCUGGAGGACUAGGACCAGCUCUCUCUCUGUCUCUUAGCAUGAACAGGUACAUUACCAGUAUCGUUUUCAAAACAGUUUUGUGGAAUGACUGUGAGUUCCUAACCUUGGCAUAUUGUUUCCCGUAUUCCGGCAUGUCCAUGAAGCUAUGCACAUCUAGUACCAUGAAUGGAAAAAAAAAACAACAGCACAGCUUACUAUAAAAAUAGUGUUAUUUAAAUUACAUUUUAGAUUUGCUUUUGUUCCAUUUCAUUUACUGCCAGCUUGCAUUUUGUUUUAGAUCCUCCACUCAGAGGGGACUCGGGCACGUCUAUAGGAGGCUUUAAGAGCAGAGUUACAGAUGUUUUCAGUCUGUGUUUAUUAAGCAUGGACCGCUACUUGAGGAUGGCUCUGGGCAAACAUGAAGUUGCCGGAACACAAAGGUUGCACCAUACGCAAAGCAUCAUGCCUCUGCCCGCACUUUCUUUGCUUUCUAACAGUUUGGAGCCAAUAGCUUAGAACACAAUGACUGUUAAAGUUGGCUUUACAAGUCAGUGAAAGGGGAAAAUUUAUCAGAUGAUAAACUUUUAUAGUUCCUGUUCAUGGCAUGGUUGGCAAAGGAAUAAUUAAAUUCAACAACAUACUCUUUUUCCUCAGUCUAUUUUCUUUCAACCCAAGGCCACCUAAAUGCCCAACUAAAUCAGUUAGCUACAGAUGCAAAAAGUUUUAUCCCUGCAUGACAGUUAUUUGUGCACUAUCUUGAAAAAUUGUAAAUAUUUUCAUGGAAUAUCAGUCUGUUCUUGAUGCUGCCAUUUGUCAGGGCUUUGAGGCCUGUGUUUGAACGGAAGCAGUGAACCUUUCCAGGGCAGAGAACAAUCAGAGAAACCAUAUCCUGUUGACUUUGCCUUGUGGUUAUGGAGAGAGAGGAAGAGACAGGUGUAACAGUAACUGUUUUGCAAACCACAUUUGGAGAGGGGACCAAUUCCUUUCUCUACUUACUGCAAAUGCAUCCUGUGUAGACAUUUAUUUAUAAUAUUUAUGCUGUUUUAAUUUUCUGCACAAUUUCAAUUGUAUACCAUUGUAUGCCAGCUUUGUAUCUGGAUUCAGGUAUUUGGUUCAAAAAUAGUAUAAUUCAUAAGUACAUUUUGUUUUUAAAAAUCAUCAAGCCAAAUUCUGUAAAUACUUGUAAAUCUGACAAAUUUCUGAGGAGGUAUAGAAAAUGCC
Bos indicus x Bos taurus (hybrid cattle) is the source of this 1240-nucleotide long non-coding RNA. NCBI's taxonomy places the organism in Eukaryota, Metazoa, Chordata, Mammalia, Artiodactyla, Bovidae. The record is from Ensembl.